Molecule: ribosomal RNA, 484 nt
Filed under: uncultured bacterium
Lineage: Bacteria
Description: partial 16S ribosomal RNA
Rfam family: Bacterial small subunit ribosomal RNA
Source: RNAcentral
AUUGAACGCUAGCGGGAUGCCUUACACAUGCAAGUCGAACGGCAGCACGGACUUCGGUCUGGUGGCGAGUGGCGAACGGGUGAGUAAUGUAUCGGAACGUGCCCAGUAGCGGGGGAUAACUACGCGAAAGCGUAGCUAAUACCGCAUACGCCCUACGGGGGAAAGCAGGGGAUCGCAAGACCUUGCACUAUUGGAGCGGCCGAUAUCGCAUUAGCUAGUUGGUGGGGUAACGGCUCACCAAGGCGACGAUCCGUAGCUGGUUUGAGAGGACGAGCAGCCACCCUGGGACUGGAGCACGGCCCAGACUCCUACGGGAGGCAGCAGUGGGGAAUUUUGGGCAAUGGGGGAAACCCUGAUCCAGCCAUCCCGCGUGUGCGAUGAAGGCCUUCGGGUUGUAAAGCACUUUUGGCAGUAAAGAAACGUCGCGGGUUAAUACCUCGCGAAACUGACGGUACCUGCAGAAUAAGCACCGGCUAACUACGUG